This 756-nucleotide ribosomal RNA is filed under the name uncultured archaeon. Its description in RNAcentral is "bacterial SSU rRNA". It matches the Rfam family "Archaeal small subunit ribosomal RNA", at positions 102 to 859 of the family's 1478-position model. The record is from RNAcentral.
AGGUAACCUACCCUCAGGACUGAGAUAACCCCGGGAAACUGGGGCUAAUAUUAGAUAGAUAAAAGAUACUGGAAUGUUCUUUUAUCCAAAGCUUUUGCGCCUGAGGAUGGGUCUGCGUCCGAUUAGGUUGUUGGUGGGGUAAUGGCCCACCAAGCCUACGAUCGGUACGGGCCAGUGGGAGCUGAAGCCCGGAGUUGGGGACUGAGACAAGGCCCCAGGCCCUACGGGGCGCAGCAGGCGCGAAACCUCUGCAAUGCGGGAAACCGUGACAGGGGGAUCCCAAGUGCUCAUGCAUUGCAUGGGCUGUUCUUUGGUCUAAGUAACCAGAGGAGUAAGGGCUGGGCAAGACCGGUGCCAGCCGCCGCGGUAAUACCGGCAGCUCAAGUGGUAGCCGCGAUUAUUGGGCCUAAAACGUUCGUAGCCGGAUAAGUAAGUCUUUGGUUAAAUCCUGCGACUUAACCGUGGGAAAUCUAGAGAUACUGCUUGUCUUGAGACCGGGAGAGGUUGGAGGUACUCCUAGGGUAGGAGUGAAAUCCUGUAAUCCUAGGGGGACCACCUGUGGCGAAGGCGUCCAACUGGAACGGGUCUGACGGUGAGGGACGAAACCUAGGGGAGCGAGCCCGGAUUAGAUACCCGGGUAGUCCUAGGCGUAAAUGAUGCGAGUUAAGUGUGGGGGCAUCUACGAGAUGGCCCUGUGCUGUAGGGUAGCCGUUAAACUCGCUGCCUGGGGAGUACGGUCGCAAGGCUGAAACUUAA